Molecule: small RNA, 19 nt
Filed under: Arabidopsis thaliana (thale cress)
Lineage: Eukaryota; Viridiplantae; Streptophyta; Magnoliopsida; Brassicales; Brassicaceae
Description: ATSL174830
Source: RNAcentral
UUUCUUUCUCUCCUCUCUC